GACGAACGCUGGCGGCGUGCCUAAUACAUGCAAGUAGAACGCAGUUGCGAACGGGUGAGUAACGAGUAGGUAACUGCCUGGUAGCGGGGGAUAACUAUUGGAAACGAUAGCUAAUACCGCAUACUACCAGCUGGACCUGCGUUGUAUUAGCUAGUUGGUGAGGUAACGGCUACACACGCGAACGAUACAUAGCCGAACGGAGAAGGUGAUCGGCGACACUGGGACUGAGACACGGCCCAGACUCCUACGGGAGGCAGAAGUAGGGAAGCGUCGGCAAGGGGGGGAAACCUGACCGAGCAACGCCGCGGGAGGGAAGAAGGUUUUCGGAUCGUAAAGCUCUGUUGUUAAGGAAGCGGUACUUAACCAGAAAGGGACGGCUAACUACGUGCCAGCAGCCGCGGUAAUUC
This 407-nucleotide ribosomal RNA is filed under the name uncultured bacterium. RNAcentral's name for it is "partial 16S ribosomal RNA". It matches the Rfam family "Bacterial small subunit ribosomal RNA", at positions 28 to 526 of the family's 1533-position model. The record is from RNAcentral.